GAUGAACGCUGGCGGCGUGCCUAAUACAUGCAAGUCGAGCGAACAGACGAGGAGCUUGCUCCUCUGACGUUAGCGGCGGACGGGUGAGUAACACGUGGAUAACCUACCUAUAAGACUGGGAUAACUUCGGGAAACCGGAGCUAAUACCGGAUAAUAUAUUGAACCGCAUGGUUCAAUAGUGAAAGACGGUUUUGCUGUCACUUAUAGAUGGAUCCGCGCCGCAUUAGCUAGUUGGUAAGGUAACGGCUUACCAAGGCAACGAUGCGUAGCCGACCUGAGAGGGUGAUCGGCCACACUGGAACUGAGACACGGUCCAGACUCCUACGGGCGGCAGCAGUAGGGAAUCUUCCGCAAUGGGCGAAAGCCUGACGGAGCAACGCCGCGUGAGUGAUGAAGGUCUUCGGAUCGUAAAACUCUGUUAUUAGGGAAGAACAAAUGUGUAAGUAACUAUGCACGUCUUGACGGUACCUAAUCAGAAAGCCACGACUAACUACGUG
This 497-nucleotide ribosomal RNA is filed under the name uncultured bacterium. RNAcentral describes it as "partial 16S ribosomal RNA". It matches the Rfam family "Bacterial small subunit ribosomal RNA", at positions 28 to 507 of the family's 1533-position model. The record is from RNAcentral.